Molecule: ribosomal RNA, 265 nt
Filed under: uncultured bacterium
Lineage: Bacteria
Description: partial 16S ribosomal RNA
Rfam family: Bacterial small subunit ribosomal RNA
Source: RNAcentral
GUCCACGCCGUAAACGGUGGGCACUAGGUGUGGCGGGUGUUGACCCCUGCCGUGCCGAAGCUAACGCAUUAAGUGCCCCGCCUGGGGAGUACGGCCGCAAGGUUAAAACUCAAAGGAAUUGACGGGGGCCCGCACAAGCGGUGGAGCAUGUGGUUUAAUUCGACGCAACGCGAAGAACCUUACCUGGGUUUGACAUCCCCCUGACCUCCGCAGAGAUGCGGCUUUCCCUUCGGGGACAGGGAGACAGGUGCUGCAUGGCUGUCGU